GAGUUUGAUCAUGGCUCAGGAUGAACGCUGGCGGCGUGCUUAACACAUGCAAGUCGAACGAACCUUCGGGUUAGUGGCGGACGGGUGAGUAACGCGUGGGAAUCUGCCCUCAGGAGGGGGAUAACGGUUGGAAACGACCGCUAAUACCCCAUAUGCCGAGAGGUGAAAUGAAUUUCGCCUGAGGAUGAGCCCGCGUCUGAUUAGCUUGUUGGUGAGGUAAUGGCUCACCAAGGCAUCGAUCAGUAGCUGGUCUGAGAGGAUGAUCAGCCACACUGGGACUGAGACACGGCCCAGACUCCUACGGGAGGCAGCAGUGGGGAAUUUUCCGCAAUGGGCGAAAGCCUGACGGAGCAACGCCGCGUGAGGGACGAAGGCCUCUGGGCUGUAAACCUCUUUUCUCAAGGAAGAAGAUAUGACGGUACUUGAGGAAUAAGCCACGGCUAAUUCCGUGCCAGCAGCCGCGGUAAUACGGGAGUGGCAAGCGUUAUCCGGGAUUAUUGGGCGUAAAGCGUCCGCAGGCGGCCUUUCAAGUCUGCUGUUAAAACGUGGAGCUCAACUCCAUCAUGGCAGUGGAAACUGAUUGGCUUGAGUAUGGUAGGGGCAGAGGGAAUUCCCGGUGUAGCGGUGAAAUGCGUAGAUAUCGGGAAGAACACCAGUGGCGAAGGCGCUCUGCUGGGCCAUUACUGACGCUCAUGGACGAAAGCCAGGGGAGCGAAAGGGAUUAGAUACCCCUGUAGUCCUGGCCGUAAACGAUGAACACUAGGUGUCGGGGGAAUCGACCCCUUCGGUGUCGUAGCUAACGCGUUAAGUGUUCCGCCUGGGGAGUACGCACGCAAGUGUGAAACUCAAAGGAAUUGACGGGGGCCCGCACAAGCGGUGGAGUAUGUGGUUUAAUUCGGUGCAACGCGAAGAACCUUACCAGGGCUUGACAUCCUGCGAACCUUUAAGAAAUUAGAGGGUGCCUUCGGGAACGCAGUGACAGGUGGUGCAUGGCUGUCGUCAGCUCGUGUCGUGAGAUGUUGGGUUAAGUCCCGCAACGAGCGCAACCCACGUUUUUAGUUGCCAGCAUUUAGUUGGGCACUCUAGAAAGACCGCCGGUGAUAAACCGGAGGAAGGUGUGGAUGACGUCAAGUCAUCAUGCCCCUUACGUCCUGGGCUACACACGUACUACAAUGCUACGGACAAAGGGCAGCAAACUCGCGAGAGCUAGCAAAUCCCAUAAACCGUGGCUCAGUUCAGAUCGUAGGCUGCAACUCGCCUACGUGAAGUAGGAAUCGCUAGUAAUCGCAGGUCAGCAUACUGCGGUGAAUACGUUCCCGGGCCUUGUACACACCGCCCGUCACACCAUGGAAGUUGGCCACGCCCGAAGUCGUUACUUUAACCCUUGUGGAGAAGGACGCCGAAGGUGGGGCUGAUGACUGGGGUGAAGUCGUAACAAGGUAACC
RNAcentral lists this ribosomal RNA (1445 nucleotides) under uncultured marine cyanobacterium. RNAcentral describes it as "bacterial SSU rRNA". It matches the Rfam family "Bacterial small subunit ribosomal RNA". The record is from RNAcentral. Lineage: Bacteria; Bacillati; Cyanobacteriota.